Molecule: ribosomal RNA, 902 nt
Filed under: uncultured Bacteroides sp.
Lineage: Bacteria; Pseudomonadati; Bacteroidota; Bacteroidia; Bacteroidales; Bacteroidaceae
Description: bacterial SSU rRNA
Rfam family: Bacterial small subunit ribosomal RNA
Source: RNAcentral
CAGCCGCCGCGGUAAUACGGAGGAUGCGAGCGUUAUCCGGAUUUAUUGGGUUUAAAGGGUGCGUAGGCGGGACCAUAAGUCAGCGGUGAAAGUUUUCGGCUCAACCGGAAAAUUGCCGUUGAAACUGUGGUUCUUGAGUGCAGAAGGGGUAGGCGGAAUUCGUUGUGUAGCGGUGAAAUGCGUAGAUAUAACGAAGAACACCAAUUGCGUAGGCAGCUUACCAUACUGCAACUGACGCUGAGGCACGAAAGUAUGGGUAUCAAACAGGAUUAGAUACCCUGGUAGUCCACACAGUAAACGAUGAAUACUAGCUGUUUGCGAUACACUGCAAGUGGCCGAGCGAAAGCAUUAAGUAUUCCACCUGGGGAGUACGCCGGCAACGGUGAAACUCAAAGGAUGACGGGCCCGCACAGCGAGGACAUGUGGUUAAUUCGAUGAUACGCGAGGACCUUACCCGGGCUUGAAUUGCAUUUGAAUACAGUGGAGACAUUGUAGCCCAGCAAUGGCAUAUGUGAAGGUGCUGCAUGGUUGUCGUCAGCUCGUGCCGUGAGGUGUCGGCUUAAGUGCCAUAACGAGCGCAACCCUCAUCACUAGUUACCAUCAGGUCAAGCUGGGGACUCUAGUGAGACUGCCGGCGUAAGCUGUGAGGAAGGUGGGGAUGACGUCAAAUCAGCACGGCCCUUACGUCCGGGUUGACACACGUGUUACAAUGGGGGGUACAAGGGGUUGUUACCCUUGGUUGGAGUGCUAAUUCUUAAAACCCCUUUAGUCGUGAUCGGAGUCUGCUACUCGACUUCGUGAAGCUGGAUUCGCUAGUAAUCGCGCAUCAGCCAUGGCGCGGUGAAUACGUUCCCGGGCCUUGUACACACCGCCCGUCAAGCCAUGGGAGUUGGUGGUGCCUG